GAUGAACGCUGGCGGCGUGCUUAACACAUGCAAGUCGAACGAUGAAGCCCAGCUUGCUGGGUGGAUUAGUGGCGAACGGGUGAGUAACACGUGAGUAACCUGCCCUUAACUCUGGGAUAAGCCUGGGAAACUGGGUCUAAUACCGGAUAGGAGCGUCCACCGCAUGGUGGGUGUUGGAAAGAUUUAUCGGUUUUGGAUGGACUCGCGGCCUAUCAGCUUGUUGGUGAGGUAAUGGCUCACCAAGGCGACGACGGGUAGCCGGCCUGAGAGGGUGACCGGCCACCCUGGGACGGAGACACGGCCCAGACUCCUACGGGAGGCAGCAGUGGGGAAUAUUGCACAAUGGGCGCAAGCCUGAUGCAGCGACGCCGCGUGAGGGAUGACGGCCUUCGGGUUGUAAACCUCUUUCAGUAGGGAAGAAGCGAAAGUGACGGUACCUGCAGAAGAAGCACCGGCUAACUACGUG
RNAcentral lists this ribosomal RNA (466 nucleotides) under uncultured bacterium. RNAcentral's name for it is "partial 16S ribosomal RNA". It matches the Rfam family "Bacterial small subunit ribosomal RNA", at positions 28 to 507 of the family's 1533-position model. The record is from RNAcentral.